ACAUUGAUAGCUUAAAACAUAGAGCAUAGCACUGAAGAUGCUGGGGUAGCAAUUAUUGCUUCAAAGUA
RNAcentral lists this transfer RNA (68 nucleotides) under Otitoma sp. MNHN IM 2013-9848. Its description in RNAcentral is "tRNA-Phe". It matches the Rfam family "tRNA". From Rfam's summary of the family: Transfer RNA (tRNA) molecules are approximately 80 nucleotides in length. Lineage: Eukaryota; Metazoa; Mollusca; Gastropoda; Neogastropoda; Turridae. The record is from RNAcentral.